Molecule: ribosomal RNA, 425 nt
Filed under: uncultured bacterium
Lineage: Bacteria
Description: bacterial SSU rRNA
Rfam family: Bacterial small subunit ribosomal RNA
Source: RNAcentral
GGGGAAUUUUGGACAAUGGGGGAAACCCUGAUCCGGCAAUGCCGCGUGCGGGAAGAAGGCCUUCGGGUUGUAAACCGCUUUUGUCAGGGAAGAAAUCCUCUGAGCUAAUAUCUCGGGGGGAUGACGGUACCUGAAGAAUAAGCACCGGCUAACUACGUGCCAGCAGCCGCGGUAAUACGUAGGGUGCGAGCGUUAAUCGGAAUUACUGGGCGUAAAGCGUGCGCAGGCGGUGAUGUAAGACAGAUGUGAAAUCCCCGGGCUUAACCUGGGAAUUGCAUUUGUGACUGCAUCGCUUGAGUGCGGCAGAGGGAGAUGGAAUUCCGCGUGUAGCAGUGAAAUGCGUAGAUAUGCGGAGGAACACCGAUGGCGAAGGCAGUCUCCUGGGCCUGCACUGACGCUCAUGCACGAAAGCGUGGGGAGCAAAC